AGAUUGAACGCUGGCGGCAUGCCUUACACAUGCAAGUCGAACGGUAGAGUAGCAAUACUUGAGAGUGGCGAACGGGUGAGUAAUAUAUCGGAACGUGCCCAGUCGUGGGGGAUAACGUAGAGAAAUUUACGCUAAUACCGCAUACGAUCUAAGGAUGAAAGCGGGGGACUCGCAAGAGCCUCGCGCGAUUGGAGCGGCUGAUAUCAGAUUAGGUUGUUGGUGAGGUAAAAGCUCACCAAGCCGACGAUCUGUAGCUGGUUUGAGAGAACGACCAGCCACACUGGGACUGAGACACCGGCCCAGACCUCCGUACGGGAGGCAGCAGGUGGGUAAUUUUGGACAAGUGGGACGAAAGCCUAGACUCCAGACAAGUCGCCGCGUGGACC
RNAcentral lists this ribosomal RNA (386 nucleotides) under uncultured soil bacterium. RNAcentral's name for it is "bacterial SSU rRNA". It matches the Rfam family "Bacterial small subunit ribosomal RNA", at positions 26 to 407 of the family's 1533-position model. The record is from RNAcentral.